GCAGUCGAGCGGACAGAUGGGAGCUUGCUCCCUGAUGUUAGCGGCGGACGGGUGAGUAACACGUGGGUAACCUGCCUGUAAGACUGGGAUAACUCCGGGAAACCGGGGCUAAUACCGGAUGGUUGUUUGAACCGCAUGGUUCAAACAUAAAAGGUGGCUUCGGCUACCACUUACAGAUGGACCCGCGGCGCAUUAGCUAGUUGGUGAGGUAACGGCUCACCAAGGCAACGAUGCGUAGCCGACCUGAGAGGGUGAUCGGCCACACUGGGACUGAGACACGGCCCAGACUCCUACGGGAGGCAGCAGUAGGGAAUCUUCCGCAAUGGACGAAAGUCUGACGGAGCAACGCCGCGUGAGUGAUGAAGGUUUUCGGAUCGUAAAGCUCUGUUGUUAGGGAAGAACAAGUACCGUUCGAAUAGGGCGGUACCUUGACGGUACCUAACCAGAAAGCCACGGCUAACUACGUGCCAGCAGCCGCGGUAAUACGUAGGUGGCAAGCGUUGUCCGGAAUUAUUGGGCGUAAAGGGCUCGCAGGCGGUUUCUUAAGUCUGAUGUGAAAGCCCCCGGCUCAACCGGGGAGGGUCAUUGGAAACUGGGGAACUUGAGUGCAGAAGAGGAGAGUGGAAUUCCACGUGUAGCGGUGAAAUGCGUAGAGAUGUGGAGGAACACCAGUGGCGAAGGCGACUCUCUGGUCUGUAACUGACGCUGAGGAGCGAAAGCGUGGGGAGCGAACAGGAUUAGAUACCCUGGUAGUCCACGCCGUAAACGAUGAGUGCUAAGUGUUAGGGGGUUUCCGCCCCUUAGUGCUGCAGCUACGCUUAAGCACUCCGCCUGGGGAGUACGGUCGCAAGACUGAAACUCAAAGAAUUGACGGGGCCCGCACCAGCAGUGGAGCAUGUGGUUUUAUUUCGAGAAACGCGAGAACCCUACCAGGUCUUGACAUCCUCUGACAAUCCUAGAGAUAGGACGUCCCCUUCGGGGGGCAGAAUGACAGCUGGUGCAUGGUUGUCGUCAGCUUCUGUUGUGAGAAGAUGGGUUAAGUCCCGCAACGAGGGCAACCCCCGAUUUUUUUUGCCCCCAAUUCUUUGGGGGAUAUUAAGAGGCCGCCGGCGGCCAACCAGCGGGAGGAGGGGGGGAAGACGUAAAAUUCUUAUGCCCCUUAUGACGUGGGCUACACACGUUCUACAAUGGACAGAACAAAGGGCAGCGAAACCGGGAGGUUAAGCCAAUCCCACAAAUCUGUUCUCAGUUCGGAUCGCAGUUUGCAACUCGACUGCGUGAAGCUGGAAUCGCUAGUAAUCGCGGAUCAGCAUGCCGCGGUGAAUACGUUCCCGGGCCUUGUACACACCGCCCGUCACACCACGAGAGUUUGUAACACCCGAAGUCGGUGAGGUAAC
This 1397-nucleotide ribosomal RNA is filed under the name Bacillus subtilis. RNAcentral describes it as "bacterial SSU rRNA". It matches the Rfam family "Bacterial small subunit ribosomal RNA". The record is from RNAcentral. Lineage: Bacteria; Bacillati; Bacillota; Bacilli; Caryophanales; Bacillaceae.